RNAcentral lists this ribosomal RNA (497 nucleotides) under uncultured bacterium. Its description in RNAcentral is "partial 16S ribosomal RNA". It matches the Rfam family "Bacterial small subunit ribosomal RNA", at positions 28 to 507 of the family's 1533-position model. The record is from RNAcentral.
GACGAACGCUGGCGGCGUGCCUAAUACAUGCAAGUUGAGCGCUGAAGGUUGGUACUUGUACCAACUGGAUGAGCAGCGAACGGGUGAGUAACGCGUGGGGAAUCUGCCUUCGAGCGGGGGACAACAUUUGGAAACGAAUGCUAAUACCGCAUAAAAACUUUAAACACAAGUUUUAAGUUUGAAAGAUGCAAUUGCAUCACUCAAAGAUGAUCCCGCGUUGUAUUAGCUAGUUGGUGAGGUAAAGGCUCACCAAGGCGAUGAUACAUAGCCGACCUGAGAGGGGGAUCGGCCACAUUGGGACUGAGACACGGCCCAAACUCCUACGGGAGGCAGCAGUAGGGAAUCUUCGGCAAUGGACGAAAGUCUGACCGAGCAACGCCGCGUGAGUGAAGAAGGUUUUCGGAUCGUAAAACUCUGUUGGUAGAGAAGAACGUUGGUGAGAGUGGAAAGAUCAUCAAGUGACGGUAACUACCCAGAAAGGGACGGCUAACUACGUG